This 407-nucleotide ribosomal RNA is filed under the name bacterium enrichment culture clone ALO1_GLFRUDD03HE8G0. RNAcentral describes it as "bacterial SSU rRNA". It matches the Rfam family "Bacterial small subunit ribosomal RNA", at positions 9 to 416 of the family's 1533-position model. The record is from RNAcentral.
GAGUUUGAUCCUGGCUCAGAUUGAACGCUGGCGGCAUGCCUUACACAUGCAAGUCGAACGGCAGCACGGGAGCUUGCUCCUGGUGGCGAGUGGCGAACGGGUGAGUAAUGCGUCGGAACGUAUCCUGGAGUGGGGGAUAACGUAGCGAAAGUUACGCUAAUACCGCAUAUUCUGUGAGCAGGAAAGCGGGGGACCUUCGGGCCUCGCGCUCUUGGAGCGGCCGAUGUCGGAUUAGCUAGUUGGUGAGGUAAAGGCUCACCAAGGCGACGAUCCGUAGCAGGUCUGAGAGGAUGAUCUGCCACACUGGAACUGAGACACGGUCCAGACUCCUACGGGAGGCAGCAGUGGGGAAUUUUGGACAAUGGGGGCAACCCUGAUCCAGCCAUGCCGCGUGAGUGAAGAAGGCC